GCGCUGCUCCGUGCUGUGAGGCGGGGGGGAACGACAACUAAGUAGUUCUGCAGGCAUGUACGUGUGGAAAGUCAUGGGUACAGAUAAAGGAGGUGGAGACUGCAUUUAGCUUCUCAGGAAUUCCUUUCAUUUGUCUAUGCAAAUGCUAUACUUAUGGCAGAUGCAGAAAUAACAGCAUCAGCUGGAAUGGUGGAAUAUUUAAUUAAAAAGAUUCUGAAAUGAACUGCAAGAACAGACAGC
Molecule: long non-coding RNA, 240 nt
Filed under: Phasianus colchicus (ring-necked pheasant)
Lineage: Eukaryota; Metazoa; Chordata; Aves; Galliformes; Phasianidae
Description: lncRNA (ENSPCLG00000013433.1)
Source: RNAcentral